UACGGAGGGAGCUAGCGUUGUUCGGAAUUACUGGGCGUAAAGCGCGCGUAGGCGGCUUUGUAAGUUAGAGGUGAAAGCCCGGGGCUCAACCCCGGAACUGCCCUUAAGACUGCAUCGCUUGAAUCCGGGAGAGGUGAGUGGAAUUCCGAGUGUAGAGGUGAAAUUCGUAGAUAUUCGGAAGAACACCAGUGGCGAAGGCGGCUCACUGGACCGGCAUUGACGCUGAGGUGCGAAAGCGUGGGGAGCAAACAGG
RNAcentral lists this ribosomal RNA (253 nucleotides) under uncultured bacterium. RNAcentral describes it as "partial 16S ribosomal RNA". It matches the Rfam family "Bacterial small subunit ribosomal RNA", at positions 524 to 776 of the family's 1533-position model. The record is from RNAcentral.